RNAcentral lists this ribosomal RNA (253 nucleotides) under uncultured bacterium. Its description in RNAcentral is "partial 16S ribosomal RNA". It matches the Rfam family "Bacterial small subunit ribosomal RNA", at positions 524 to 776 of the family's 1533-position model. The record is from RNAcentral.
UACAGAGGUCUCAACCGUUGUUCGGAUUCAUUGGGCGUAAAGGGUGCGUAGGCGGUUUGUUAAGUCGGAUGUGAAAUCCCUCGGCUCAACUGAGGAAGUGCAUCCGAAACUGGCAGGCUUGAGUACUAAAGAGGGUCGCGGAAUUCCCGGUGUAGAGGUGAAAUGCGCAGAUAUCAGGAGGAACACCGGUGGCGAAGGCGGUUCUCUGGGCAUGUCCUGACGCUGAGGAGCGAAAGUGUGGGGAGCGAACAGG